UAUUAACCAUCACAAACCGAUGCUGGCACUAAGACUGCACUCAAUGAGCUGUAUUCCACCAUAAGCAAACAGGAAAACGUUCAUCCAAAGGUGCCGCUCCUAGUGGCCGGGGACUUUAAUGCAGGGAAACUUAAAUCCGUUUCACCAAAUUUCUAUCAGCAUGUUAAAUGUGCAACCAGAGGAAAAAAAAAAAAAAACUCUAGACCACCUUUACUCCGCACACAGAAACAAAUACAAAGCUCUCCCUCACUCUCCAUUUGGCAAAUCGGACCAUAAUUCUACCUCCUGAUUCCUGCUUACAAGAAAAAAUUAAAGCAGGAAGCACCAGUGACUCGGUCAAUAAAAAAAGUGGUCAGAUGAAGCAGAUGCUAAUCUACAGGACUGUUUGCUAGCACAGACUGGAAUAUGUUCCAGGAUUCUUCCAAUGGCAUUGAGGAGCACACCACAUCAGUCACAGGCUUCAUAAAUAAGUGCCUUGAUGACGUCGUCCCCACAGUGACCAUACGUACAUACCCCAACCAGAAGCCAUGGAUUACAGGCAACAUCCGCACUGAGCUAAAGGCUAGCACUGCCGCUUUCAAGGAACGGGACUCUAACCCAGAAGCUUAUAAGAAAUCCCGCUAUGCCCUCCGACGAACCAUCAAACAGGCACAGCGUCAACAAAGGAUCGAAUCAUGCUACAUAAGCUUCGACGCUAGUCAGAUGUGGCAGGGCUUGCAAACUAUUACAGACUACAAAGGGAAGCACAGCCGAGAGCUGCCCAGUGACAUGAGCCGGAUGAGCUAAACUACUUCCAUGCUCGCUUCGAGGCAAAUAACACUGAAACAUGCAUGAGAGCAACAGCUGUUCCGGACGACUGUGUGAUCACGCUCUCCACAGCCGAAGUGAGUAAGACCUUUAAAAUAGGCCAACAUUCACAAGGCCGCAGGGCCAGACAGAUUACCAGGAUGUGUACUGCGAGCAUGCGCUGACCAACUGGCAAGUGUCUUCACUGACAUUUUCAACCUCUCCCUGUCUGUAAUACCAACAUGUUUCAAGCAGACCACCAUAUCAAAUCAAAUCAAAUUUAUUUAUAUAGCCCUUCGUACAUCAGCUGAUAUCUCAAAGUGCUGUACAGAAACCCAGCCUAAAACCCCAAACAGCAAGCAAUGCAGUUGUAGAAGCACGGUGGCUAGGAAAAACUCCCUAGAAAGGCCAAAACCUAGGAAGAAACCUAGAGAGGAACCAGGCUAUGUGGGGUGGCCAGUC
This is a long non-coding RNA of Oncorhynchus tshawytscha (Chinook salmon), 1248 nucleotides long. NCBI's taxonomy places the organism in Eukaryota, Metazoa, Chordata, Actinopteri, Salmoniformes, Salmonidae. The record is from Ensembl.